RNAcentral lists this ribosomal RNA (253 nucleotides) under uncultured bacterium. RNAcentral's name for it is "partial 16S ribosomal RNA". It matches the Rfam family "Bacterial small subunit ribosomal RNA", at positions 524 to 776 of the family's 1533-position model. The record is from RNAcentral.
UACGUAGGUCCCAAGCGUUAUCCGGAUUUACUGGGCGUAAAGUGUCCGUAGCCUGGUGUAUAAGUCUGUUUUCAAAUACCACGACUCAAUCGUGGAAAGGGAAUAGAUACUGUAUACCUAGAGAAUAUUGGAGGUUAGUGGAAUUUCCGGUGGAGCGGUGAAAUGCGUUGAUAUCGGAAAGAACGCCGAAAGCGAAAGCAGCUAACUAUGAUAUUUCUGACGGUGAUGGACGAAAGCUUGAGGAGCAAACGGG